RNAcentral lists this small RNA (114 nucleotides) under Arabidopsis thaliana (thale cress). RNAcentral describes it as "ATSL261380". The record is from RNAcentral. Lineage: Eukaryota; Viridiplantae; Streptophyta; Magnoliopsida; Brassicales; Brassicaceae.
GUUGCAGCAAUGAUUAGCUUGUGUUAGGUUGUGUCUUGAUUAGCUUGUGUCUUGAUUUGCUUGUGUUAGAUUGUGGUGGAUUGCUCUUGUGUCCGCUUUGUUAAUUUGUUGUAA